ACUGCGAAUGGCUCAUUAAAUCAGUUAUCGUUUAUUUGAUAGUACCUUACUACUUGGAUAACCGUGGUAAUUCUAGAGCUAAUACAUGCUGAAAACCCCAACUUCGGAAGGGGUGUAUUUAUUAGAUAAAAAACCAAUGCCUUUCGGGGCUCUUUGGUGAUUCAUGAUAACUUUUCAGAUCGCAUGGCCUUGCGCCGGCGACGGUUCAUUCAAAUUUCUGCCCUAUCAACUUUCGAUGGUAAGGUAUUGGCUUACCAUGGUUUCAACGGGUAACGGGGAAUUAGGGUUCGAUUCCGGAGAGGGAGCCUGAGAAACGGCUACCACAUCCAAGGAAGGCAGCAGGCGCGCAAAUUACCCAAUCCCGACACGGGGAGGUAGUGACAAUAAAUACUGAUACAGGGCUCUUUUGGGUCUUGUAAUUGGAAUGAGUACAAUUUAAACCUCUUAACGAGGAACAAUUGGAGGGCAAGUCUGGUGCCAGCAGCCGCGGUAAUUCCAGCUCCAAUAGCGUAUAUUAAAGUUGUUGCAGUUAAAAAGCUCGUAGUUGAACCUUGGGCCUGGCUGGCAGGUCCGCCUCACCGCGAGUACUUGUCCGGCCGGGCCUUUUUUCUGGAGAACCUCAUGCCCUUCACUGGGUGUGCUGGGGAACCAGGACUUUUACUUUGAAAAAAUUAGAGUGUUCAAAGCAGGCCUUUGCUCGAAUACGUUAGCAUGGAAUAAUAGAAUAGGACGUGCGGUCCUAUUUUGUUGGUUUCUAGGACCGCCGUAAUGAUUAAUAGGGACAGUCGGGGGCAUCAGUAUUCAAUUGUCAGAGGUGAAAUUCUUGGAUUUAUUGAAGACUAACUACUGCGAAAGCAUUUGCCAAGGAUGUUUUCAUUAAUCAGUGAACGAAAGUUAGGGGAUCGAAGACGAUCAGAUACCGUCGUAGUCUUAACCGUAAACUAUGCCGACUAGGGAUUGGGCGAUGUUUUCAUCUUGACUCGCUCAGC
RNAcentral lists this ribosomal RNA (989 nucleotides) under Crassiperidium octosporum. RNAcentral's name for it is "SSU rRNA". It matches the Rfam family "Eukaryotic small subunit ribosomal RNA", at positions 86 to 1084 of the family's 1831-position model. Lineage: Eukaryota; Fungi; Ascomycota; Dothideomycetes; Pleosporales; Longiostiolaceae. The record is from RNAcentral.